This 460-nucleotide ribosomal RNA is filed under the name uncultured bacterium. RNAcentral describes it as "bacterial SSU rRNA". It matches the Rfam family "Bacterial small subunit ribosomal RNA", at positions 30 to 477 of the family's 1533-position model. The record is from RNAcentral.
AUUGAACGCUGGCGGCAUGCUUUACACAUGCAAGUCGAACGGUAACAGAGAGAAGCUUGCUUCUCUGCUGACGAGUGGCGAACGGGUGAGUAAUAUAUCGGAACGUGUCCAUUAGAGGGGGAUAACUAGUCGAAAGAUUAGCUAAUACCGCAUACGCCCUGAGGGGGAAAGUGGGGGAUCUUCGGACCUCACGUUAAUGGAGCGGCCGAUAUCUGAUUAGCUAGUUGGUAGGGUAAAAGCCUACCAAGGCGACGAUCAGUAGCUGGUCUGAGAGGAUGAUCAGCCACACUGGGACUGAGACACGGCCCAGACUCCUACGGGAGGCAGCAGUGGGGAAUUUUGGACAAUGGGCGCAAGCCUGAUCCAGCCAUGCCGCGUGAGUGAAGAAGGCCUUCGGGUUGUAAAGCUCUUUCGCAAGGAAAGAAAACUUACAUGUAAAUAAUAUGUGAGGUUGACGGUA